RNAcentral lists this long non-coding RNA (16511 nucleotides) under Heterocephalus glaber (naked mole-rat). RNAcentral describes it as "lncRNA (ENSHGLG00100048363.1)". The record is from RNAcentral. Lineage: Eukaryota; Metazoa; Chordata; Mammalia; Rodentia; Bathyergidae.
GGCAUAUACAAACAAGUCAAAAUACUCUAGUCCUCAGCUUGCCUUGAUUGCUGCUUUCCUGCCAGAGGUCUCCUUGAAAACAGAGAACCAUUAAGGUCAGAGACAGCAAAAAAGCCUCAAAAGAGUGAUAGAUGAGAUCACCUGUGAGACAGACAUGAAUUUGCAUCCUUUUCUCUAUGGAACUCAGCUCCUUUCAUCUUUUCUGCUUCCUGACUUCCAUGAGCUGAGAAGCAUUCUUUCCCAUACCCUCCCACAAUUAAGUUUCUGCUUUGGAGCCAGCCAUCAAUGGACUGAAUCCCCUGAAACUGUUUGAAGGAAGGAAAAGAGCGAUUCUCAAGAUACAUGACUGAAGGAAGUUGUUCAUAUUUAUCUCACUAAAGAAAAGAGACAGAUUUUUAAAUACCUUGGAACCUUGAGGAAGGGAGAUCUAUAGUUCAGGCUCAUUCAACCACAGGUGAGCUUUUUCUCCUCGAUCAUUGUGAUUCUUUGUGUCCAAUGCAAAUGAAGAUAUAAGAACACAGAUCUUCACAACCCAUCUCUGUCUCAGGACUUUUAGGAUCUGGAUUUUUUGGGGGGGUGGUACCGGGGAUUGAACUCAGGACCUUGCACUUGAGAAGCAGGUGCUGUGCGGUGCCACUGACCUAAAUCCCCAGGGAAAGAUCUGUUUUGAUUUUACUUGAAUAACACAUUUUUCUAUUAAAAAAAAAACUAUAAUGGCCAAAAAAAACAGUAUUCUAUAGAAGCAUUUGCCAAUUGUCUGUUAAGAAAAAAAAAAAAAAACACCUGAGAGACAACACUGUGUUAUAAGAUAAUACCAUAUAGAAUUACAAAGAUUGUUUCUUUGAUUCAAGUGUUUCAAAAUGCUAUGAAAAAAGAAUCUUGAUAAUAUAACAAACACAGCAAAAAAUUAAUUGGAAAAUAUCUGCCCCCUUACACUGUCACUUUUCUAGCCUCAAUCUCUUUCUACUACCAGUAGCAUCUUACAGAGUAGAAAAUAGGAACAAAAGGCUGAGACCAGAUGCUAUGACAAAAGAUCAUAGGAUCUGGCAUACUUGUGAAUGUGUGCCAGGUACAAUGGUUUUCUGUGUUAUUUGAAGGAAGGUUCAUUAUAGAACAGAAUUAAAAUUAUCCCUCACACACGUAGGUUAGAUGAAGCAGAACAUACUAUUUCUCUGAAUUAUUUCAUAGUCUACUAAGACCUAUCCCUCCCUCUGGUGCCUCCUGACAAUUUGUGAACUGUUGCCAGAUUCUCUCCUAAUCAAUUUUCUUCUUGGCUUUUGAAAGACAGAAGCCCACGUCACCUUCCAGACCUAGUUCUCUGUGCUUAUUGUCACAUAUUGCCUUAUAAGGUAUGUGCUGUGAGACUACAUGCUAGGGAAGAGAGGGCUCACCAUGUAGUCUAUCCAUCAAAUGAAGGUUUAUAAAAUAGAAGCCUAUUUAUAGCUGGUGAUCUAAUCUCUCAUCACAUCAUUUUCCUUCCUAGAAAAUCCCACUUGGAUUUCUCUCCUUUUCCCUUUCCUUGCUAAAUGAGUCUUCCUUUUUAAAUGUUUCUUUCCAUUGUCUUAUCUUUCCUUUCUUUGAAAAGAAAGUUAGGUUUUUAUUCUCAUUUUAUCCCUGUUCAUAUUGUUUCCUCUUGAAUAAAUGUUUUGUUGCUUUGUAUCUCACCACUAAGUUCAGAAAUUCUCCACACCAUUUUUUAAUGAACUAAUUACAAUUCUGACUUUAAUUUGGUCCAUUAAAAUUUGUGUUUGGUUACCUGAAGUUCCUAGACUGACAAAUUGUGUCACUUCUAGCAGCUACAAAUGCCAUUGAAAAUAAAAAUUUGGUGUCGUUCCAAUCAGUCAGCUCUCCCUUCUCCUUUUUAAUUAUUUAUUUUAUUUUUAAGCCUCAAACUUCUGUCAUUAUGAAGAGGGUUGUUCAUUAUUCCAAAAAACUGCAAAGAACAGGAUUGCUACCCAAGCAGAAGAGAAUCUGUUUUAAGUGGUGAGACAUUUGGGUUGACUGUGGAAGAAAAAGGAGCCUCAGACCUUCCCUUCACUGAUAGAAAUGCUUUAUUUUAGAAUUCUCAGACCUGGUCCUUAUUCAUUUUACUCCAAAAAUAGAAAGUAGUGACAUUUAUAAAGGAGAAAUGAGUUCUACUUUGUUUCUUUAUAAUCCAAAUGCUUUAAAAUUUAAACACUUCAUGAAAAAAGAUUAAAAGAGUAUAUCUAUUAACACUUAUAUAGUUAAUUUAGUGGAUUUGAGUCUGUAGAAUGUUAAAACAAUAAGAUUGUGUUGGCAGAGUCAUUCUAAAUAUUUAUUUAGCCCCAUCUACCUAUAUCACUGUAAUUGGUGUUUUUGUGAGAUACAAAGAAAGCAGAAUUCAAUUCAAUUUAACAAAUAUUUAUUAAAUUACUAUUAUGGCUAAGACACUGUGUAAAUAUCACAUGGAAUACAAAUGCAGCAAAUAGAGUCUAAUAAAAGUUUCAGUUUGGUUCUGUUUGUUUUAGCUAAGAUUUAUUGAGCAGCUAGGGAUUGUACUAAGUUUUAAAAUGCAACAUAUUUUUAUGUACACAAAGGAACUUACAGUCUGGUAAACUAGGAUUCAUGAAAUCUUAAAAGUAUAUGCAAAUUGUGUGUGUGUGUUCAUUCAUAUUUUCUUUUUAGAAGAGGAGCAUUAUCUUCAGAAUUCUCAAAGAGUUCAGAAAAGCUCACAGGUGCAAUACAGAGUAGAUUCUCAGAGCUGGGUGGGGCAUUACACAACAGACUCUCUGCCUCAGGUCCUUCAAAUACCUUCGUGGUGGUUGGGCCUCGGCUGUGUGCUGAGAUAGCCACUAAUGAUGUAUUCAUAAGGCAAAAGAACAUGAGCCUCAAGAUCAGAAAGCAAUUUUCAAAGUUGUCGACUAUUAAAUGCUAAAGGAGAGUCCAGAAUAGUCAGAAUUGAAGGUACAGGCUUUUGGUUCCCCAAAUGAAGGCAACUCUGACUGGUGCCUUUAAGGAUGUGUAGGACUCGCAUAAUUGGAACUAAAGACACCAUAUUUGUCUAGCUUAGGACACUCUUAAACAAAGUGACAAGAGGAAGUGAGCAAAACAUAGUGAGGAACAUCAGCUCCUUCAGAUGCUUCUGCAACCGCAAGGUUUCUUGAUCCAAGCUUUUUACAACCUAAUCAUCCUUAAACCCACCUUAAAGUUUCCAUGCUUGUUCCACCAUUGUAAACUAGGUUAGGAAAUAGAGAUUAUGCCUGCAUUUGUGUAUGUGAAUUUAUAAACAUAAACACACCCACUCAUGGUAGCCUCACAUGUGCCUAUGUGUGCUAACGUAUGUAUGCUGACAUCUCUCACACAGCUAUUUUGAUCCUCUUUUGAUCAUGGCUGAUUAAUUAAUGUGUUUAUAAAAAGCCUACUUUUGCUAAGCCUAGUUUAAGAACUAAAAAUCAAAAAUAGUUUCCAGAAUCAAAAGCAAGUGUCUAUGAGCCCAAGAGAGAGAAAGGAAGCACUGCAAAGAGAAUGGCAUAAAUAAUGGCAGGGAGGUAGGUAAUCUGUGGCCCAUCCUAGAAAUGGAGAGUAUUAUACUUAAACUGCUGAAAAAGGAGUCCAGCAAGAGAUGAAGUUGAUGAAGUAGGAUCGCAAGGAAAACAAUGUGUACUGUUUUCUAACACUUAGGUUUUAUAUAUCAGAGUAACUAUCAAAGGUUUUGAAUAGAAGAAAAAUGACGCUGCUAUAUUUAGAUUUUUUUUUUUUUUUGGUGAUGGUGGUGGUGAUACUGAGGAUUGAAACCAGUGCCCUCACAUUGAACUUCAUCCUCAUUUUUUGUAUUUUGAUAUAGGAUUUCCUUAUGUUGCUAAGUUGCUGAGGCUGGGCUCAAACUUAUCAUCCUCUUGUCUCAGCCUCCCACAAUACUGGCAUUGAGGCAUGUGCCACCAUGCCUGGCUAGAUUUAAAUUUUUAAAAAUCUUGUGGCAGUAGUGUGAACAAUGGGAUAGGGCAGGUCAGAUUAAAAAUUAGGAAAAGCAUAUAGAGUAUUACAAUAGACUAUGUAUUGAAGAUGUCACAGGAGAACAAAAUAGGCAGAGUUGAACUUAGUUAGGCUUGGUCAUUUAUUAGAUGUAGGAAAUUAAAGAAAGGGAAGAAUCUAGGAUAAUCAUCAGGGUAAGUUUAGGUAGGUGGUGGUUUUGCUGAGCCAGGCAAAGAACACCAAAGGAGAAUGUGUAAGUCAAGUCAGGAUGAAACUACUUAGGACAGGAUGAAUGUGAGAAAUCUGAGAAAGUAAAGAUGCUAAAUAGACUGCUUUAUGAACUGGAGGAUGGAAGGACCAAUAAAUCAGGAGUCACAAAAGUAAGUUCAGCAGAAUAAUCUGGACCAUCCACUGUAAGCUUAGGAUAGUUUUGCCAUAUUUAAAUGGUUCAAAAAAAUCAGAAGAAUAAUAUCUUUUUUGAGAAGGGUGUCAUAUGAAAGUAUCUCAAACUGGAUGGCUCAAACAACAGAAGUUUAUUUUGGUAGUUCUGGAAGCCUGAAGUUCAAGAGUUGACAAGUUGUUGGCUGGGCUCUUUUUUUCUAAGGCCUAUGUGUUUGACUUGUAGGUGACAGUCUUCUCUCUGUGUUGACACAUGGUUUUCCUUCUGUACCAAUCUACGACCUAGUUUCCUUACUUGUAAGGACACUAGUCAUAUUGUGUCACCCUGAUAAUUUCAUUUUAACAUAAUUAUUUGGUUUUUUUACUUCCACUUUUUAUUGAUGUCACAAAUAUAUUACAUUUUAUGUUUUUACCCUUCAAAUUCUAUGAGAUAGGAUUGCAGGAAUACAGGUUACUGUAUUUGUCAACAUAUCCAUGUGAGCUGGAGAAACAUUUUCAUAUGGCUUUGUGUUGCUGUCUACCAUCCUUACAUUUCAACUGAAAGGACUCUUUAAGCACAUCUUAUGUAGGUCUACUAGUAAUGAACUUCCUCAGCUUUUGUUUAUCUCAGAACAUCUCAAUCCCCCUUCAGUUUCCAAGGGCAGAUUUCUGGGUAUGUAUUAGUUUUCAGUGUUUUUCUCACAGCUCUUUCACUGUAUCUCUCCUUCUGCUCCGCAAAACAUUUUGUUGGAAAAGACAUUAAUGACCUCAUGCAGGCUCCCCUGUAAGUGACAGGUUGCUCUUUUCUUAACAAUUUCAAGAUUUUCUUUUUGGCUUUAGACAAUCUAAUUUUGAUGUGUCUUAGUGUUGUUCUCUUUGGAUUUAUUAGAGUUAAAAUUUCUUGAGUUUCUUGCAUUCAUAUGUCAGUUCCUUCCUUCACAUUUAGAAGGCUAGGGACCAUUAUUUCAUCCACUAAUUUCAUAGGUUUGUUUCUCUAAGUUCAAUUUCUAGAAUUUGAUUUUGUUUCUUUGGACUGAGUUUCCUUGUUUCUUCAUAUGUGUUAUAAUAUUUUGCUAGUAUUUGGGCAUUUUAAAAGGCAGUCAUCCCUCCCAGUCUUCAGAGACUCAGAGAAAGACCUUUAUCAUCCAGCUUUGGACGCUAGGACCUCUCAAACACUGUGGAGACCCCGCCCCUUGGUGUAAUCCUGCAUACCUGCAACUCUGCCAUGUACUCCCCUCUGUUUUGAGCAGAUUCCCAUCUCUGGAGCUGCCAAUCCUACCCAUGCAAGUUGGCAGCCAGCUCCUUGCAAACCUCCUUAGACAAACAAAAGUGUUGGAUGUGUGAUCUGCACUUUUGUUUCCAUCCUAAGGAGGAGACCUGCUGUGUGGGGCAUGGGUGUUUUUCAUGUUUGCUUCAUGCUCGGGAGGAAUACGGAUAACUACUGUAGAAACCACAAGCUCUUCCACUUCAUUGUUGGACUCUUAUCCUGCAUUUACAAUGGCCAGGGUGCUGUGGCUUCUCAUUGGUCUCUACAGUGUUACAGGGGCCUUCCUGCUCUUAGGUUGUUAACUUUGUCUACUUACAGGGAAAGUAGAGCUUGUAGUUUCUUAGUCUGCCAUCUUACUCACCUUAUGUGUGUGUGUGUGUGUUUUUUUUUUCCUUAAAUUUUUUUAUUUGUACAUUUUAGGUAUACAAUACAUUUACAUUUAUCAUUGGGUGCUUGUACCUGUACAUGAUGUGUCUUGGUUUUUAUUUUUUCCCCCAUUACCUGUGCACCCUUCACCCCCUCCACCCUUCCCUAUUUACAUAGACUUCAAUUCCAUUUUUUUUCUUUUCUCAUAAUUUUUCCUUCCCUUCUUUCCUUUUCCCUUCCCCUCCCACCACCCUUACCCUUUUGGACCUUUACCUGUUUCAAAGUAUCAAUUAUUCUUUAUUAAUCCUUUUAAUCCUUAUUUACACUUUCAGUUGCUCACACUAGAGAAACUAUUCAGUAUUUACACAUGUGUGUCCUACUUAUUUCAUUUAAGAGUAUGGCCUCAAUAUGCAUCCAUUUUGCUAUAAAUGACUCUAGUAUAACAUAAUUAUCUCUUUAAAGAUUCUGUUACCAAAUGUAGUUGCAUUCUGAGCUAGUAGGAUGGCAGUAUAUGCAUUUCAGAGGGAAGUAAGUCAGGCCAUAACAUACAAGUUUUAUUGGAAUGCAGCCAUAUACUCAUUGAUGUUUUACAGUAUUGUGUAUGGUUACUGUAGUACAACAAUAGCAAAGUUAAGUAGUUGUGACAGUGAAAAUAUGGCCUUCAAAGCCUAAAUUAUCUAAUAUUUGCCCUUUCCAGAAAAUAAUUGCUAUCUUUUACUUUAGAUAACAGGUGAGUUGAUGUUGUCUCAUUAGAGCUGAUAAUAGAAAUUAGGAGAGUACUAAGGAAGACUUAUGUAAAUUAAAAAUUAAAAAAAAAUGAAAGAGGGUAAGUCUUUCACCAUUACAACACAAUAGGUCAAGAAUUAGAGACAGAAUAAGCAGAAAAACAGUAUGUUGAACCACAUAUCCUGUAUCAUACAAAAAAGAGAGAUAGAUGCCAGAUCAAAACAAUAAUGUGAAAUACAGAGGGUUCUGAUAUCAUGGAAAUCAGCAUAUCACAAAAACUAUGUAUAGAGAGGUAAAUAUAGUAAGAAUUUAAAAAUGACUUUUGGAUUUAUUAGUGACCUGUUUGCUUUGAAGGGAACUUAUAUACAUAUUUUAUACAUAUAAAAAUGUGAUACAUAUCACUGCAGUUUUGCCUUUUAUAUGACUUGUAGGAUGUUCUUGAAGAAAAAAAUCAAGUGUUUUCACUAUAAGUAUUUAUGUUCUUAAAACUAUUCCUGUGAAACUGUCUCCAGAAUAGUAUUCCAUUCAGAGAACAAAGUGAAGUAAAAAGAAAAAUUUCAAAUACAUUCUAAAGCCAGUUAUUGGGUACACAGUUCAAGGAGUGAGAUUUGUAAAUAUUUAUGUCUUUAUAUGUCAAGUUUACCCCAAAAAAUCAAAUUUUCUAUGGACUUUUUGCUGAGAAAAUUAUUGUACUUUGUAAUUUAUUGCUUUAAUGUUACUAUCAAAUCCUUAACCAUUCCUACCAAAACCAACCACUUUCAUGCAAAAAGUGGAUCCUACUAAACUUCCAUUGCCAUCACUUCAUGGAAUUGUUGCUCAAAAGAAAUGGCACCAAGAACUUUAGCACUACUAAUAGAAGAAAGCUUUGGAAUGGAAAAGUCAGCCACGAUUACGAACCAAGGGUUUUAAAAAUGAUUAGAUCAAAACAGAAACACCGUUUUUGGGCUUUCAUUGUCAGCAAGGAAGACCUUUGCAUGCUUGUUAGCAUUGCUAUUAAAUCAAACAUUCAGAUUUAGAGUAUGUAAGCAUAUUGGUAAAAAAGGAACUGUCAUGAAACUUUAAUAUAGUAAAAAGAAACAGUGAACACAGAAUGCCUGUUGUUUUUUCAGUGUAAUUUUAUCACUACUAAACUUAUUAUGCUUCUUUAUUUUUAUUUCAAAAAAGUUCUUCCUUUGUAAUUACUAAUAUCAUGAUCAACAUUUUUGUGAUAGUCAUUUACUAUAUUUGCAAAAAAUCAUUUUAAGAAGUUUUAAGUCCUUCCUUCAUUUCUUGGUAUAAUAUUUGUAAUUUUUCUUUUAGUAUUUUAGUAUUUCUCUUCUUAGCCAAGAAAAAAAAAUAUUUAUAGGAAAAGAAUGGAGACUGUUCCUGAGAAAACAUCCAUUUGAGGUAAGUGCUCACUCUGAUGCACAUUCCAAUAUUUAUAUUGGGCUGGACUUCUAAUUACUUUAUCAUUUCAGGAGCAAUAGAAUAGAGUGGUCUGCACCGAUAAAAAUAUUUCCAUUUGAAAGACUAACAACUCCCUAUUUAGAAAUGGUGCCUGCACAUUAGAGUACUGGAAAUCGAUUUUUAAUUAGGUAUUUUAAUAAGUAAAUGCAAAUUAUAAUGUACAUGGUGUUCAUAGCUUGCAUAAGAGCAUAAUUAUAAUAGCCAAGCUAGUUUUUCAGCCACAUUCUUCAGUAUUUAAUGACUGUUGUUGGGGUUUUUUUCAUAGAAAAAUACUUGCUGUCAAGGGAAAAAGUCUAGAUUUCUUGAAAGCUUUAACAUAAGACAAAUUUCCUAUUUAAUGUCUUGACACUAACUCUACCUUAAAGAAAACACUUCUAGUAUCCAUCUGUUAAAACAUUCUCUCAAAGAAAACUAUUUCCUAGAAAACUACACCAACAUCUUUCUGGUCCGAGAUAAUUUUGCUACAUGAAAACUGCAUUGAUAUAACUUUUAGUUGCAUUUUAUUUUCAGGAAAAUAUAUUCCUGGCUGGUGGAGGAACUCAAUAAAAGAAGAAAAGAAAUGAGAAAAGAAAAAGAAUGUGGUUAAAAUAAUCUCAAUACUACUCUCCACUUAAGUAUUUGUUUUAAUAAACUCAUUUGCUUUAUGGUUCUUAAGUUUGAGUAGGAAUGUUUAAUCUAGCAUUACUAAGCUCCCCAAAAGGGAAGCAAAUAUUUUAUGAGGAUCCAGUAAUUUUUCACAUGGCCAGAGUUUACACACCAGGUGUUCAGCUUACAAAGCCCUUGCAGGGUAGUCAAGACUGGACUCAGACCUCGUAGUUGCUGUAACCUUGUAUUCCUAACUCAAUAGCCAGAGGUGAGAACUGAAGCCCACAUUCUGUUCAAGAUGUAUAUGUAAGACACAACUGCUGUGUUCAGCCAAUUUUCCAGUUAAAAUUCAGGGGUACUGGAAAUUGAAUGAGCAGUUUCACUUUUUAGCAGCUUUAAAGAAGGAAAAUUAAUCAGUUUUCUAUGUGUAUCAUAUUUUUUUUCAAUUUGGGGGUGGGCUACACUAGGAACAAGGUAGAAUUUGACUCAACCUGUGAGUUACGUAUUUCUGGCUUAUUUGUUUGUAUGCUUGCUCUCUACCUGGACCCCAUCCCUCAACACUCUGCACACACAUGCUCCACUGACACUGCUUGGGAACCAAGCAGAAAAAAAAUGUCCAGCCUAAGAAACUUGCUUCCUCAGUUAAGUAACAUUUUCAGUUUUCCUAAAUAAGUUUCCUUUCAUCACUUUUAAUGAAAAAACCGUAUGUCCCCGUGGUUCACAUAAUAGAAAAUGUAAUCAUACACAUCUGGGAAGAAUGAAGAAUGCCAAGGCUGGCCCAGGUGCCAAAUUAUGUUACCGUAAUUUUCCACACCUAAUUCAGGAAAAAAAAUGUUAAAAUUUAAAAUAAUAGGGUCUAAAAACUAAAAUGGUUCCAUUUCAUAGAAGUUGAAAUAAUAACUUUAAAAUCUUUUGCACUUUUUUAAAGUGCUAUCAAUUAAGCCUCUAAAAUUUGGAGGGAUUUUUGCUUCAUUCCCCCCCUUCCUUGUGGAGGGAGAUAGGAGUAAUAUAGACAGGCCCUUCAUGAAUUGUGAGCGCUGCCAUUUUUGUUUUUCUUUUUUCCACUCACAGCUUUCAGUCUUUUCAUCUUCUCCAACCUUAUCCUUUCCCCUAUUCCCUAUGUCCUUUUUUGCUACUGAUAAUUUUUUUUAAUUUAAUGCAAAUAUAUAUUAAUUGGAGCCCCCAAAGAUCUAAAUGCAUUUUCACAAAGUGCUAAAAUAAAAGCAUUGAUAGGCUGGGUGGAAGGGAGCUCUUUCUUUACCUAAGUGAAUUGUGGUUGUCAUAUUUACAUAUUAAAGUCAAGUUUCUGUCUGUGUGGAUUGUUGGAUCACAGGAGAAUGACUGGCUGAAUGGAGCAGCUGUGCUUAAAAUAGAUCAUUAUUUGGAGUAUCCUGGCUGAAGGUAGCAAUAAAGGUUAUCUAGCCGGAAGGGCAGGUGUCCACAGGUGGCAGAUGAAAACAAGACCUCAGGAUGCUGUGGAAAGGGAAGGUGAAAGCUGUUUCAGAUGUGAGCCCCCAAAAGCAGGAGCUGACUGUUGCAGAGCUGCUUGUCUCACAAGGGAGCAGUAGUAUUAACUUCUAUGUUUAAGUUCAGUUUUUGUUCUUUUACACAUAUCUGAAAUAUCUAGAUGCUACAUUACAAUGCCCUCAUUGUAACUUUAAAUUCUAAAAGAAAUACUUACGCCUUAUCUGUUUCCAAAACAAUGUGAGUUAAUAGCAUUACACUGUUUUACAUUUUGACCAAUGUAUUUCUGAGGAAGAAUCAAGGCAAAUUUCAGGAAUAGAAACUAAGUUGUAAAGAACUCAAAGCCAUGCAACACAAUUUGUGGGUGGGUUUGUUUUUUGUUUGUUUCUUGUUUUGUUUUGAUGCCUACCAAGUGUCAAGCCCUGUACCAUGUAUAGUGAAUUGAAAGAAAUAGUUAAGGCACAUUAAUCUUAAAUAGCUCACAGACACACGAUAAAAUGAAAUUAGGAGGUGGCAAGGACACCAUUUAGCCCACAGUAGAGACCAACUGCCAAUGAUUAAAUAACUUGUUUGAACUCAUAGUCAGUUAGAAUUUUAAUGUAAGUAUGUCAACUCCUAGUCCAUGACUCUGUCUUCUAUUCUACUAUUGAUACUACAGUGUGCCCUAUUAUAGCUCAUAUUUUGCUUUCAAGUAGGUAGCGUCUAAAGUGCUGACGUGUCAAUAAGGAAUCUGUUUUAGCAAAUGGGGCAACUACUGUCUUGGGAAAUUGUAACAUUACAGUACCACUUUCAGAAAUGAACUGAAUUUUAAUAGAACUUAGAAAACUGAGUUACUCCUCUUUAAGCAAACAUUUUGAGGUAAUUAAAAAGCAAAGCCAAGCUGGCAUUCCUGUAACAUUACUCAACAUAACCCAGUAGUUGCUUUUAAACAAAUCCCAGGAGCAUGGUUUGUAAGAAAAAAAGUUAAAUAGAAUGCUUUGUCUUCAUUGUUAAAAUUCCAGUUUUCUUCACGUGCAAUAAGGACAUGAACAUGGUUUUGCUUAUUGUCAUAAUAUAGUAAAGUCAUAAUGCUGAUAUCAUAGUACCUAAAACAAAUCAAAACAAAGAUUAAGUGGAAAUAACAGAAAACCUAAACUCAGGAAGAAAUCUCAACUCUACUUCCCCUGAUGCCAUUUUAGUUCAUACAGUAAUUAAUAUAGGAUUUAUAAGAAUAGUGCUCAGAUGCUACAAACUAUUCAAUAAAUUUUACAACCACAGAUAAUGUUAAUUCUGUUAUAUUAAAUUAUCGCACCAUCGAUAAAUUGAAAAUUUAUUUUGCUGUCCUUAAAAGACUUCAUUCUUGAGAAGGUAAAACAGUUGUACUAAGUAUCCAAAUUGUUAUGCCAAUUUAUUUGUUUUUAUUCUAUAAAAUAGAUCUAUCCCUUAUUUAUUGUUUCAUUGAGAGAAAAUAUAUAAUCAUAUUUCCUAGUAUAUGUGUGAGAUUGUAUAGAAAUAUUCCUAAAGGAACAUGGACAUACAGAAAGUGAGUUUCUCCAUGGAAAAGUAAAUUGUAAAAGCAAGAAGUAAAGGAUCAGAGAAGAAACAUAACAUACAGUGUCUCCUGGAAAGAGACAGAGUGGCUCAUGGGCUUUACAUCUAAUCUAAACACCACACACACAUACACACAUAAACACAAACAUCCAAAAGGAACUUUUGCAUCAGGAAGGUGAUCAUUUUGCAUAGAAAUAGUCACAGAAGCAGCCAGCUGUUAGCAACACCCAUUCAAAUAAUCUGGUGCACAAAGAGACUCAGCCUUCAGCCUGUAAGUGUUUCCAAUCAUGUGGAUGGCAAGGCUAUUCUUCCAGUGCUGGAUGAAAGUGAUGGAAAUUGAUGGACUUCACUGAUUUCCAGUCCCACUAGCCAGCUGCUUACUUUGUGGGAAGGGUUCCUGAAGCCACCCUAAAAUUAAGUCAUUUAAUAUUUAAUUAAUUUACUUUUUUUCCUUGAGCUUCUACCUUCAAAUAACAUCAUCUUGACUAUAAUUUAGUCCCCCACGUAGCUUGACUAUGGAGAUUGAAUAUGCUAAUAAAGCCAAUAUAGUAUUCAAGUUCAUAUGAUUGUCCUACUUCUAAUUGCAGUCUGUCCCUCAGACUUGUAUGCAUACUAAUUAUGAUGAGGAAUUUUAUUAAAACUCUUUACAGAUAACAUGAUGGCCUUCAGAGGGUGUUUUAUCUAGUGCUCCCUGCUGCAGGAGGCUUUCCCUUAGAUAAAAUCCCAACUAAGCUCAACAAUGAUUUGUAAGAUGCUCUCUCCAGUAUAUUUCUAAGAAGUUUUUCUCUUUCUUAUUCUUAAACAAGAGAAACACAUCUAAAUAGCUUAAAGUCAACCAAAAAACAUCAUAUAAGGCAAAAAAAUCAUUCUUUAAAACAUAAAUAUACAUAUACACAAAUUAUUACUUUUAAGAAUUUAAAGAUUUCAUUCAAUUAACACAGAGGCAUUUUCACUGUAGAGUAGAUGUUGUGCCCUAUAAGUAAUUCAAUUUACAUGUAUUAUUAGUUCAUAUUCUUAAAAUGAUUCAAAUGGAUGUGCUGCUGUUGAAUGUUAAGUUUUCUAACUUCCUGAAGGCUUGCUAUUUAUUUAUCAUUAAUCUUCAUCUAAAAGUGAUUUUUGUUUCUGUAACCUAGUUUUGGAAUUCCCUCAGUAAGUAUAAAGCUUCACAAUAGGUCCUUUAACCUCCAUUUUCAACAAUAAAUAACACUUAUCUCUUUGUUUUAUACACAUUAUAUGGAAUUAGGACCCCCUAUGGAGACAUUAGAUUAGGAAUUAUAAAACCAAUGUGGCAUGCAGUCAUUGUCCUAAUGUUUUCAAACCAUCAACAAAGAAUGAAGGAAAAAGGCAGCCAGGCCCUGACCUACCAUGAGGGACCACAUUAUACAGCAGGGCAUAGCAAUAAGAGUCACUAACUAGACUGCCUGUGUAAAGUUAGAUAAGGGGUAAGCUUAAUGUUGAGAAAAUCUACAAAUAAUCAUGCAGUUCACCAAGCAAGGUAACACUGCACCCUGUGGGGUCUGAAUCAGAUGACUCAGUAUGCAAAGAAAAAUAUUUGUAUUUAACUGAAAUUUAAUUUAGUUUCACAUUCUUACUAUAGGUUAAUCUUCCUGGAAAGUAGGUCACUAAAUUGGUAGUGUUUUGAAGUGUUAAUUUCUUUCACCAUGUCUGUCAUGACGGUGAAUCAACUUCUGUAGUUUAUAAUGUAAAUCCACACUGAUCUAAAAUAAUUUGAGGGACUAAUUCCAUGGUGAUCAAUAAAAUGGCUAAAAUGAAGUGUACUGUUUAACUGUUAGGAAGAGGAUUUUAAAUAAAAGUCCUUCAAAACCUAAUUUAAUGAGAAAGGAUUUGUUUGUAAUUAGAACCAUCACUUUUAAAUAUGUGCUAAUAACUGUCUCUAGACAAAUAUUCUCUAAAGUUAAAUAUACAUGUCUCAAUUGACACUUUAUUUAAUCAAAAAAGUUAUUUUUUUCUUUCUAGAUGCUACCCAGGAAAUCUCUGAAUCAACUCAGACCCAAGUUUUCUAACUCAUUAAUGACUUUGGAGCACAUAGUAGAUUAAGGGCAUCCGUAGCAUACGUCCAUCUGUAUAAGCAGAUAUGAUACAAAAUAAAUUAGAGUUUUCUAAAUCCUUGAAAGAUGCAUCAAUUUUUGCAUCCUUCAUAAGAGAAAUUUUCACUAUUACUUUUAUUGUUACCAGGUUAAUUUUCCGCACUUCUUGUAGCAUUGUUAAGUGUAGAGGCAGGUAGUGAUGUAAGUAUGGCUGGUUAGAAGAAUUAUUUUUCUUCUUUUUAUUGUACUGGGUACUGAAUCCAGGACCUCUACACUGAUCUGCAUCUCCAGACUUCCCCCACCCUUAGUGAACCAGGGUCUCAGUAAGCAGCUAAAUUGCCCAGAUUGGGCUGGAAUUCAUGAACUUCCUGUCUCAUCCUGCCAGAGUGCUGAGAUUAUGCCCUGAGCCCACAUGGCUCAGUAGAAAUGUUUCUCAUCCAACUGACAAAUAUACUCUGAAACAGUUGAGCUCCUAAAUCAACCCUUUAACUCAUCUUUCGUAAGAGCCAAUGAAUAUCCCAGUUCAUGUUGGCAAUUCAAGGAGUUUUUAUAAGCUGGAAAAGAUUAAGAGACGCAGCUCAGGUUUCAGGGCUAGUAUUCAACAUACACUUACUUUACCCAAUGAAAAGCUAUUUGUCUUUAGAAUCUCAAAGCAAGUACAUGAUCUGUCCUCUAUCUAAGUGGUAUAUAUGUUCUGUGGUGUUGAUAAGAGGAACUACUAUUUAUUGAAAAGCUCUUAUGUAUCCAGAAAGCAAUAGGAGCUUCACACAAGUAAUCUUAUUUUAUAUCCACAAUGAUUCUUCAAGGUAGAUAGUGUCAGCCCACCAAUUUCAUUCAAAAACUACAGAAACCAAAAUUAGAACACUCAGCUUGGCUCUAGGGUGAAUAGAGAUAUUAGCCAUGUUCUUUGCACUGUGGAGCCUCUAAGGUAGUGGGGUUGAACCAAUAGUGGUUGUAAUGCUACACAGGCUUCUGUUUCAGGAGUUACAUACCCUUGAAUAACAGAUCAAAGAGAAAGAGAGAAGUAGUUAUACAGUACUAGUUGAGGUAAUAGUUAUCCCUUCAUGUACCACCCAAGGUGAUUAUGUUCUGUUUUGAAUCACUCUGUAUGUAUAAUUAUAUAUCAUGUGCACCGAUGAGGAAUGAAAUGUGAAGUUAAGAUUGUUUUGUGUUCUCAUCACAAAGUAUGGUUAUAUAUGUGAGUGAUUGUAAAUAUAUAGCAUGUAUCUAUAAGGAUAUAUACAGAUAAUGUUUACAUUUUUAAGAAAACUAUUACAUUAAGAUACAUUGUUGUUGGUCCUCCUCCCCCUCUUCAAACACACGUAUGCCAUUAUCCUUACCACUUUACGAAGCAAUUCUCUACGUCCUCUUUCAUGAGUGUCUUUACAAGUUUUAAUUUAAAAACACAGUGAAUGCUACUGCUGAUUGCGCACCAAUAGAAAGGCAGGGUCUUUACUAUGUGUCUUCAUCACCUUAUUCAUGAGAUGACACCGUGCAACUUCUGGCUCUUCCCAAAAGUUAGAAUGACCGUGACAGGUAAAUGUUUUGAAUUGAUUCAAGGCAUUGAAGCAGCCAUGACACCACAACUGAGGAAAGAGAAUUUCCAGAACUGCUUCAGAAGGUUGCAAGAACUAUGGAAAAAGAGUGUCCAAGUCAAGGGCGAGUAUUUUGAGGGGGAUUAAAGUAGUGCCUUUUGCUGUGAUAAUUUUUUAAAUUUAAUUUACCAUCUUUUUCAAUCACAUGCAAUAUGUGUGUGCCAAUGUAAGGAAAAUUCUGGAAAUCAUUCUGAUUAUGUUAUUAAUUAAUACACUAAAAGCCACUAAAACAGAAUAGCUUAUAUUCAUAGAUCUACCAGUUACAUCACAGCCAAAAGAAAGUUAAAUCAGUAGUGAUUAGAUUAACAACACUGAAUUACCUUACUUAAUCCUGAUCUAAGAGUAGUCUAAUUUCCAUAUUGUUACAAAGAGAGUACUUCCAUUCUUAAAACAAAAUCCUUUACUUUAGCAAAGCUUAGUCUCUUAAAUACAUUGGUAUUUAGGUAAAAUAUGGUAUUUAGGUUAAAAUGAUACUAUGAUAAUCUAGAAAUCAGCACCUCUAAAGUGAUAAAAUUAGUCAUGCCAAAGUGCUGAGAACAUGACUACUGGAUGUAACCAUAUGCAACCCACUCGGUUAUCAAGUGCUCCGACCACACACGCCACAGAUCCUCACCUCACUACAAACAAAAUCAACAGGAGUUUCUAAUUUUUUCUAAUUUUUAAAAUUAAAUUUCUAAUUUUUUCUAAUUUUUAAAAUUCGAUGAUAACUAUACUAUAUUAGUUUCUAUUUCUGUAUUUAUUUGAAGUUUUCUAUAACGGUCUUUAAGAAUGUUAAAGCAAUAUAUAAAAGUGAGUAUGGUUGUCCUUAUAUGUAAUAUGUAUAAAAAUACUUUUCAUUGCAAAAAAAGAAGUGAUGUCUGAACCAAACACUGAAAGCCUCAGAACAAGGACAAAGCUUGUUUUUUCAGGCUCCACAAUGAGUAAUGCAUAGUGCAAGAUAGCAGGUCUUAGUUCCUUCCUGUUGUUUACCAUUUCCCAGCACAGACCCUCUUCCUAGGCCUCUCCUCUUGUCUUUCAGCUCACCCUUUUUCCUUACUCUUCAAUUGGUUUAUUCCACCAAUAUCUUGUCAGCAGCCAUCAUAAAAAAAGUUUUCUUAAGGUGCAGUGAUUAAAUUUUCUUUUUUUAUUCCUUGCUAAUUGAGACCCUAUCUAGACAACAUCUUUCCAGAUACA